AGUGAACGCUGGCGGUAGGCCUAACACAUGCAAGUCGAACGGCAGCACAGUAAGAGCUUGCUCUUACGGGUGGCGAGUGGCGGACGGGUGAGGAAUACAUCGGAAUCUACUUUUUCGUGGGGGAUAACGUAGGGAAACUUACGCUAAUACCGCAUACGACCUACGGGUGAAAGCAGGGGAUCUUCGGACCUUGCGCGAUUGAAUGAGCCGAUGUCGGAUUAGCUAGUUGGCGGGGUAAAGGCCCACCAAGGCGACGAUCCGUAGCUGGUCUGAGAGGAUGAUCAGCAACACUGGAACUGAGACACGGUCCAGACUCCUACGGGAGGCAGCAGUGGGGAAUAUUGGCCAAUGGGCGCAAGCCUGAUCCAGCCAUACCGCGUGGGUGAAGAAGGCCUUCGGGUUGUAAAACCAGUUUGUUGGGAAAGAAAAGCAGCAGGUUAAUACCCCGCUGUUCUGACGGUACCCAAAGAAUAAGCACCGGCUAACUUCGUG
This 492-nucleotide ribosomal RNA is filed under the name uncultured bacterium. RNAcentral describes it as "partial 16S ribosomal RNA". It matches the Rfam family "Bacterial small subunit ribosomal RNA", at positions 29 to 507 of the family's 1533-position model. The record is from RNAcentral.